RNAcentral lists this ribosomal RNA (451 nucleotides) under uncultured organism. RNAcentral describes it as "partial 16S ribosomal RNA". It matches the Rfam family "Bacterial small subunit ribosomal RNA", at positions 333 to 800 of the family's 1533-position model. The record is from RNAcentral.
ACACUCCUGCGGGAGGCAGCAGUGGGGAAUAUUGGACAAUGGGCGCAAGCCUGAUCCAGCCAUGCCGCGUGAGUGAUGAAGGCCCUAGGGUUGUAAAGCUCUUUCACCGGAGAAGAUAAUGACGGUAUCCGGAGAAGAAGCCCCGGCUAACUUCGUGCCAGCAGCCGCGGUAAUACGAAGGGGGCUAGCGUUGUUCGGAAUUACUGGGCGUAAAGCGCACGUAGGCGGAUCGAUCAGUCAGGGGUGAAAUCCCAGGGCUCAACCCUGGAACUGCCUUUGAUACUGUCGAUCUGGAGUAUGGAAGAGGUGAGUGGAAUUCCGAGUGUAGAGGUGAAAUUCGUAGAUAUUCGGAGGAACACCAGUGGCGAAGGCGGCUCACUGGUCCAUUACUGACGCUGAGGUGCGAAAGCGUGGGGAGCAAACAGGAUUAGAUACCCGUGUAGUCCCAUGA